UAUGUGAUCGUCUCUCGCAUAUCAAUAAGCGGAGGAAAAGAAACUAACAAGGAUUCCCCUAGUAACGGCGAGUGAAGCGGGAAGAGCUCAAAUUUGAAAUCUUAAAGGGUUUCCCUUUACGAAUUGUAGUUUAAAGAAGUGUUUUCUGUUGAGGUUUUGGUAAAAGUUCUUUGGAAUAGGACAUCAUAGAGGGUGAGAAUCCCGUAUUUGACCUUUACUUUCAACUUUGUGAUACACUUUCAAAGAGUCGGAUUGUUUGGGAAUGCAGUCCAAAAUGGGUGGUAAAUUUCAUCUAAAGCCUAAAUAUUGGCGAGAGACCGAUAGCGAACAAGUACCGUGAGGGAAAGAUGAAAAGAACUUUGAAAAGAGAGUUAAACAGUACGUGAAAUUGUCAAAAGGGAAGCGUUUGACACCAGUGUUGUUUUUCUGAAAAUCAAUUAAAGAACUGUUUAUGCUAAGUUGUUUAGACUUUAUCAGCUAACUGUUUAGUUUUGAGCUUUUCUUUAAUGCACUUUUCAGUUAACAAGUCAACAUCAAUUUCUUUUGCUGUAAAAAAGCUUGAGGAAGGUGGCUUGAGAUUCGUCUUAAGUGUUUAUAGCCUCUUGCCUAUGCAGUCGGAGAGAUUGAGGUCUGCAGCGUAGAUCCUUCGGGGCUAAAUGCAUUUGUGCUAAGUUAUAACAUUUUAUAGACAACUUGUUGACUAUGAUUUGUCUUGUAGCUUACUCGCUUAUGUUAUUUUACCUACGCUUAGGAUGUUGACACACGCGCGUGCUCG
Molecule: ribosomal RNA, 775 nt
Filed under: uncultured Neocallimastigales
Lineage: Eukaryota; Fungi; Neocallimastigomycota; Neocallimastigomycetes; Neocallimastigales
Description: partial large subunit ribosomal RNA
Rfam family: Eukaryotic large subunit ribosomal RNA
Source: RNAcentral